UACGAAGGGGGCUAGCGUUGUUCGGAAUUACUGGGCGUAAAGCGCACGUAGGCGGAUGUGUCAGUCAGGGGUGAAAUCCCGAGGCUCAACCUCGGAACUGCCUCCGAUACAGCACGUCUCGAGUCCGGAAGAGGUGAGUGGAAUUCCUAGUGUAGAGGUGAAAUUCGUAGAUAUUAGGAAGAACACCAGUGGCGAAGGCGGCUCACUGGUCCGGUACUGACGCUGAGGUGCGAAAGCGUGGGGAGCAAACAGG
RNAcentral lists this ribosomal RNA (253 nucleotides) under uncultured bacterium. RNAcentral describes it as "partial 16S ribosomal RNA". It matches the Rfam family "Bacterial small subunit ribosomal RNA", at positions 524 to 776 of the family's 1533-position model. The record is from RNAcentral.